Molecule: ribosomal RNA, 698 nt
Filed under: Hoylesella buccalis
Lineage: Bacteria; Pseudomonadati; Bacteroidota; Bacteroidia; Bacteroidales; Prevotellaceae
Description: bacterial SSU rRNA
Rfam family: Bacterial small subunit ribosomal RNA
Source: RNAcentral
UUUGUGGCGGGUGGCCAAGCGAAAGCGUUAAGCAUCCCACCUGGGGAGUACGCCGGCAACGGUGAAACUCAAAGGAAUUGACGGGGGCCCGCACAAGCGGAGGAACAUGUGGUUUAAUUCGAUGAUACGCGAGGAACCUUACCCGGGCUUGAACUGCCGGUGAACGAUACAGAGAUGUUGAGGCCCUUCGGGGCGCCGGUGGAGGUGCUGCAUGGUUGUCGUCAGCUCGUGCCGUGAGGUGUCGGCUUAAGUGCCAUAACGAGCGCAACCCCUUUUUUCAGUUGCCAUCAGGUAAUGCUGGGCACUCUGGAGAUACUGCCACCGCAAGGUGUGAGGAAGGUGGGGAUGACGUCAAAUCAGCACGGCCCUUACGUCCGGGGCUACACACGUGUUACAAUGGGGCAUACAGAGUGUUGGCUUAACGCAAGUUUGGUCUAAUCUUCAAAGUGUCUCCCAGUUCGGACUGGGGUCUGCAACCCGACCCCACGAAGCUGGAUUCGCUAGUAAUCGCGCAUCAGCCAUGGCGCGGUGAAUACGUUCCCGGGCCUUGUACACACCGCCCGUCAAGCCAUGAAAGCCGGGGGUGCCUGAAGUCCGUAACCGUCAAGGAGCGGCCUAGGGCAAAACUGGUGAUUGGGGCUAAGUCGUAACAAGGUAGCCGUACCGGAAGGUGCGGCUGGAACACCUCCUUUCUGGAG